GGACCCGCACAAGUAGUGGAGCAUGUGGUUUAAUUCGAAGAUACGCGCAGAACCUUACCAACACUUGACAUGUUCGUCGCGAACUCUAAGAGAUUAGAGUUUUCGGUUCGGCCGGACGAAACACAGGUGCUGCAUGGCUGUCGUCAGCUCGUGUCGUGAGAUGUUGGGUUAAGUCCCGCAACGAGCGCAACCCUCACUUUAGUUGCCAAUUUAUUGGUUUUUUAGAAAGACUGCCGGUGACAAACCGGAGGAAGGUGAGGAUGACGUCAAGUCAGCAUGCUCCUUAUGUCCUGGGCCUACACACGUGCUACAAUGAUGAGGACAAAGAGUCGCCAAUCUGCGAAGACGAGCUAAUCUCGUAAACCUCAUCCAAGUUCGGAUUGUAGGCUGCAACUCGCCUGCAUG
Molecule: ribosomal RNA, 405 nt
Filed under: uncultured bacterium
Lineage: Bacteria
Description: bacterial SSU rRNA
Rfam family: Bacterial small subunit ribosomal RNA
Source: RNAcentral